This 885-nucleotide ribosomal RNA is filed under the name Triticum aestivum (bread wheat). RNAcentral's name for it is "partial small subunit ribosomal RNA". The record is from RNAcentral. Lineage: Eukaryota; Viridiplantae; Streptophyta; Magnoliopsida; Poales; Poaceae.
AUGGAGAUUGCCCGCCGGGAGCCCUUCAGCAUCAUGCCCGGCCGGAAGCGCCCGCUGGAGAUCCUUCGCCAGCGGUUCCAGUCAGAGCUCGUCGCGGUCCGUCGCCUCCUCGCCGAGGCGCACGCCAUGCUUCCCGCCUCGUCCCCGUCGUCCCUUCCAGCCGAGGAGCCGCCAGCCAAGAAGAGGAAGGCGUCCCCCCCUCCCGUUCCCGCGAAGAAGAUGACGCCCAAGGAGCGGAGCCAGCUCUACGCGGACCUCACCAAGCUAGCCAAUCUGUCUGAAUCCCAUGCACUCCCUGUUCAUAUCCUGGAGCUGCUGAAGAAGCACAGCCGCCGCGGCAUCUGCGACGAUUACGUCGAGAUCGAGAUGAACGCCGUCCAAGACGCGGCCCUCGUGGAGAUGCAGAAGCAGCUGGACAAGUUCCUUGGAGAGAGGGCCCAAGACCAAGAGGAGGACCAAGACGUGGACAUCGUCGGUGGCGUCUCCCUUUUGCCGGUCAGGCCGACAUCAGUGCAGGUGCAGCUCGGCGACGCCUCACCGGUGAAGAAUCUUGGCCAAGGUGCAACCAUCAGCGGCAGCAGCGGCUCGGAUUCUGGUUCAUCUCACCAGAGCGUCGACAGUCGUCCAGCUCCGGCAGAGCGCGCCGCCAACAGUACUACGCCUCCAACACGCGACCUCAUCGCCCGUGCCGGCGAGAUUUUGGAAAGGCGACGAAAGAAGGAGACGUCCCGGGCGAGAGAGAAGGCCCGUCAGCAAGUGCUCGAGACGGAGAGGACGGCAAUGUUCAACGAGACCCUGGACGAGGAGGCGAAGGCGCUCGGCAUUGAUCAACACGGCCAGGCCGGACAACUUGUUGCGACAGAUGGGACUCUUCCUCAAGCUUGA